This 472-nucleotide ribosomal RNA is filed under the name Veillonella dispar. RNAcentral's name for it is "bacterial SSU rRNA". It matches the Rfam family "Bacterial small subunit ribosomal RNA", at positions 28 to 477 of the family's 1533-position model. The record is from RNAcentral. Lineage: Bacteria; Bacillati; Bacillota; Negativicutes; Veillonellales; Veillonellaceae.
GACGAACGCUGGCGGCGUGCUUAACACAUGCAAGUCGAACGAAGAGCGAUGGAAGCUUGCUUCUAUCAAUCUUAGUGGCGAACGGGUGAGUAACGCGUAAUCAACCUGCCCUUCAGAGGGGGACAACAGUUGGAAACGACUGCUAAUACCGCAUACGAUCUAAUCUCGGCAUCGAGGAAAGAUGAAAGGUGGCCUCUAUUUAUAAGCUAUCACUGAAGGAGGGGAUUGCGUCUGAUUAGCUAGUUGGAGGGGUAACGGCCCACCAAGGCGAUGAUCAGUAGCCGGUCUGAGAGGAUGAACGGCCACAUUGGGACUGAGACACGGCCCAGACUCCUACGGGAGGCAGCAGUGGGGAAUCUUCCGCAAUGGACGAAAGUCUGACGGAGCAACGCCGCGUGAGUGAUGACGGCCUUCGGGUUGUAAAGCUCUGUUAAUCGGGACGAAAGGCCUUCUUGCGAACAGUUAGAAGGAU